RNAcentral lists this long non-coding RNA (324 nucleotides) under Medicago truncatula (barrel medic). Its description in RNAcentral is "lncRNA gene39718". The record is from RNAcentral. Lineage: Eukaryota; Viridiplantae; Streptophyta; Magnoliopsida; Fabales; Fabaceae.
CGAACGAACACUUCGAAUCUGUAUGCUCGUGCUUUCCGGGAAGGCUGGUCCGGUUAGUCCUUCUCCAAUUAGCAUCUCGCCUGAUCGUCUGCUGAGUGAAUAGCAGCAAGUGCUAGUUCAAGUCAGUAAUCAUUUGAUUCGCGGGAUCUGUACUGUGACGAGUAAGAAAAUAAGGUUGAAGUACUACGGAUAUCAGAGCUUUAGUUUAAGUGAUUCAAAUCAGUGAACUGUACUCGUCCAAGCCAGCGGGUAAGGUUCACCAGACCGGGCAGGGCAGGUGAACGACCAAGGAAAGUAGAGGAAAAGGAUAGGCGAGUCAAGGCG